RNAcentral lists this RNase P RNA (378 nucleotides) under Candidatus Peregrinibacteria bacterium CG_4_10_14_0_2_um_filter_43_11. RNAcentral's name for it is "RNase P RNA component class A". It matches the Rfam family "Bacterial RNase P class A". Rfam says of the family: Ribonuclease P (RNase P) is a ubiquitous endoribonuclease, found in archaea, bacteria and eukarya as well as chloroplasts and mitochondria. Its best characterised activity is the generation of mature 5'-ends of tRNAs by cleaving the 5'-leader elements of precursor-tRNAs. Lineage: Bacteria; Candidatus Peregrinibacteriota. The record is from RNAcentral.
UAUUUAAACCGUAGUAGUCGCCCCGCCAAGGCGGGGAGGAAAGUCUGAGCAUUAUAGAGCAGAGUGGCCACUAAAGGUGGCCGUUCCGAUGGUAACAUCGGAGCAGGGAAAGUGCCACAGAGACGAGCCAGUCCGCCUUAGGCGGGAUAAGGUUGAAACGUCCUCGGUAACGUACGAGGUCUCCGAUCGUGUGAACGCAUCGGGGCGGUAAACCCCACUCAAUGUAAAGCUGUAAUGGGAGGAUGGAAUAUUCCGGUGGCUCGCCGGACCAUUUUCGCAGCCGCUAGACCUCAGCAGUAAUGCUGAGGAAAGAUAGAUGACUACUGAACCCGAAUCUUUUCGGGGGAACAGAACUCAGCUUAUGAGUUUAAAUAAACA